UAGAGUUUGAUCCUGGCUCAGGAUGAACGCUGGCGGCGUGCUAAUACAUGCAAGUCGAACGCACAGCGAAAGGUGCUUGCACCUUUCAAGUGAGUGGCGAACGGGUGAGUAACACGUGGAUAACCUACCUCAAGGUUGGGGAUAACAUUUGGAAACAGAUGCUAAUACCGAAUAAAACUUAGUAUCGCAUGAUACCAGGUUAAAAGGCGCUACGGCGUCACCUAGAGAUGGAUCCGCGGUGCAUUAGUUAGUUGGUGGGGUAAAGGCUUACCAAGACAAUGAUGCAUAGCCGAGUUGAGAGACUGAUCGGCCACAUUGGGACUGAGACACGGCCCAAACUCCUACGGGAGGCUGCAGUAGGGAAUCUUCCACAAUGGGCGAAAGCCUGAUGGAGCAACGCCGCGUGUGUGAUGAAGGCUUUCGGGUCGUAAAGCACUGUUGUAUGGGAAGAACAGCUAGAGUAGGGAAUGACUUUAGUUUGACGGUACCAUACCAGAAAGGGACGGCUAAAUACGUGCCAGCAGCCGCGGUAAUACGUAUGUCCCGAGCGUUAUCCGGAUUUAUUGGGCGUAAAGCGAGCGCAGACGGUUAAUUAAGUCUGAUGUGAAAGCCCGGAGCUCAACUCCGGAAAGGCAUUGGAAACUGGUUAACUUGAGUGCAGUAGAGGUAAGUGGAACUCCAUGUGUAGCGGUGGAAUGCGUAGAUAUAUGGAAGAACACCAGCGGCGAAGGCGGCUUACUGGACUGUAACUGACGUUGAGGCUCGAAAGUGUGGGUAGCAAACAGGAUUAGAUACCCUGGUAGUCCACACCGUAAACGAUGAACACUAGGUGUUAGGAGGUUUCCGCCUCUUAGUGCCGAAGCUAACGCAUUAAGUGUUCCGCCUGGGGAGUACGACCGCAAGGUUGAAACUCAAAG
RNAcentral lists this ribosomal RNA (917 nucleotides) under uncultured bacterium. RNAcentral describes it as "bacterial SSU rRNA". It matches the Rfam family "Bacterial small subunit ribosomal RNA", at positions 1 to 906 of the family's 1533-position model. The record is from RNAcentral.